UUGAAAAACAUUUCUCUGCUUUUACCUCAACACACAAUGUUCCCAUCUGAGCCAACUCAAACUAUAAUUAACAUUUUUACUCAUUUGUACUUCAGCUGAGGUGUGAAGUGAACCUGAGGAGCUGUCGUUACACCCAGGUUUAUAGCUGUGCACUAUAAUUUACCCAUGAAUAUAACUUGUAAGCCUUUUUAAUUUUGACUGAACUUGAGAGAAUCAACUUUGUACUGAUGUGAUCUCUGUCAAAAAUGACAUUUCUUUGAUUUUUUUUUUUUUGUCCACAGGAUUGUUGAAGAAAGAGUGAGUUGUUAACAAAUAAAAAGGGUGAGAUGAUGGGUUGCAAUAUUAAAUUAAAAAAUUCAUCAAAAUUGAAGAAUUUUUUAGAGUUUUUAGGGUUAGAUGAUAUAUUUAAUAAAAGCUUAAAAAAAACAGACAAUAACACCAGAAAUUAAAUAAACACUUAAAACUUAUCACACUAUACCAUAGAUAUAUCACAAACUUCUUUUAGCUUCAGUCUUGCAUGUAAGUAACUUAUAGAGAAACGCAGUUCAAAUAAACAUUUCUCUCAUGGGUGGUGCUGCCAAAAUUACCCAACAUUACACGUGCAUUUUUAUUCUGUCAAAAAAAAAUCAAGUAUCUGAUAUUCAGCUACAGCAAGAGAUUUGGGAUUACUUCAACGAAAUAUACGAAUAUAAUGCAGUUGAGCCCCAAACAGAGCCCUUAAACAGAAACCUUUAUCCUUUGAGUGGUCAUGCAUUGAUUUUGUUAUUUCAUAUUCACUAGAAUCAGUGUGACAUCCACAUUAAUACCAUUUGGGGUUAGGGUUUUCUCGUUUCAGCGACCAAAAGUGAAACCAAAGUGACGCCUUGUGUUCAUUUGUUCCACACAGAAAACCACCAACACCUGAUCUGUGACGUAAAAUGCCUGCCUUUACUUUAAAAAAGAGUUUCUGUGUUAAACUUGUUGUCCUCUCCACAUAAAGAGUAAAAAGUUCUGAGUUACAUGUAUUUAUUAAUAUGGAAUAAGAAAAAGGUACUUCUCAAGUUUCUUCAAGUAAGAGGAAUGUUCCUUGAUGGAAAUGAUACGAUCAAGACCUUGAUAAGUAAAACUGGCAUGUUUUUUUCUACUAAUUACAAGCAAUUCAGGUCUUAUUUGGCAUAAAGUAUCUGAAAAUAAUCCACUAUUUGUCCAGUGAGUGUGGCUUAAAUUAAAAGUAGUAGACACUUUGUGCUAAAUAUAAGACCAAAAAAAGUUUACUAGGAAUUGAGUUUUUGCAGCAAGAGGUAUUAAAAAACGAAUAAUUUUAGUCAAAAAUGAAGGUUUUGUAGUCAGAGGACACCAUCAACUGUACAUCGAUCAAUAUCUCUUCAUGUUUAUUUAAUCUAAUCAAUUUUAACUACACAGGCCCUGAAGGCAUCCAUUUUCAUUCUGUUUAUUAUCAAUAUUUUGAAAUACCCUUUUUUGGGGAGAAAAACAAGAAAAAGUGCUUAAUUCUUAAUCAUUAGAGGUCGAUCCAUCAGCACUAAAUGUCAGGCUGUGUCAGCUGGUCUAUUAAUUCACAUCAAAUCAGUGUGUGUGUGUGUCAGGGGAAAGCUGAAAGUUUCCAGGUUGGAAACCAAGGUGUGGAUGGUUGGAGUUCAAGGUCUCAUUCAGGCUUGUGUUUCGAAAUGUUUCCUGGCAGAAAAGAGAGAGAGAGAGAGAGAGUGUGUGUGUGUGUGUGUGUGUCAGGUAGUCAGAGGGAAAGUGAACAGGUGCCUCCUGCGCUCCCUACACACACAGUUCCCUGAUAAUGCAUAUCAUAAAUAUUGAUCAUCUUGUCACUGUUGCUUGUAGGGUGCAUGUUUGAUCUGCAGGUUGUUAAUGUGAGCAGGUGGAGGUCAACAGUUUUAUUCUGCCUCCGGUCAUAGAAACUAAUAUUGACACUUUAUAUGUUUUAUGAUUUAUUAAACAGCUGGUGGAGUUUAGGUGAGCGGCCUCAGGGGGUUAGCAAAUGCGAGUAUGUUUUUUUUUUUAAUCUGCCAGAUGUACCUCCACUGACAGGAUUUUUAGCAACAGAGUGCAGUGCUGGCUGAAACACAAUUAUUACAUUACUCAGCUGCCUGCUGUCCUAUCAACAGUGCAUAUGACCACUCUGGGUCUUGAUCAGCUCCCAAACUGCUUUUGUUCAGUGUGAAUGUUAAUGAUUUCUUUUAAAUACCAUCAUCUGUCAUUCUGCAGCUGCACGUCUUUCUCUGGAUCAUCUUAACUUCAUUUAAAAUUGACUUUAGACUGGAAGAUUAGUACAAAGGACUCAAAACACUCUUUCAAAACAUGCAAGUUUGAGCUGAGUCUGGUGUGAAACAGUCCUGCUUUUCUUGAUGUUAGCCUUAAACUACAUACAGUAUCUUUUUCUUAUACUUUUCUUUGUAUGGUACCUUACUAAGUAUUUUUUUAGAAGAUAAAUGCCCAUUGAAAAGUCGUUACCCCCAACCUCCAGUGAGCUUGCACCUAUGUCAUCCUUUGAACCAGUAUUUUCCAUCUGCAUCCUUUGGUCAUAUUUUAUGACCAAAGGAUGCACAUCAUCAUAUGUGAUGGGCGAAAACAGAUCUCGGCUGUGUUAAAUCCACUCCAUGCCUUAUCCCCUCCCUCUUUACAACUUACACCGCUGGGAGGAGCUGACUUAGGGAGAGGGGAAACUUACGCCGGGCUGCGCUGCUCACCAAAAUACCAAAAUGUGCUCGGGCAUGCCUUGUCGGUGCGGCGGACCUGACUUACGCCGCACCUAUGCCAUGCCGCCGGCGAGGCAUGAAAAUAGAGCCCAAUAAGUUCAUACUCAGAGUGAAAAAUAAGAGGGACUUGUACUUGUUUUAAUGAUACAUAGCAGUGUGUUUGAUGAUACGUUUUGCCUUGGGUUGUUAGAUUUAAAAAAAAAAUUAAUAUAUUUUUAUUAAUAAAAAUGUCUUGUGUUGUGUGUACAGAAACUUUCAAAAGCUUAAUCCAAACACAAAAUCCACCUGCAUUACAGAUUUUAGUCAGAGGCAGUGCCAGAGCAGCUGUAUUAGCAGUGACUUUCAGCUCUUCAUGAAGUCCCCAAUGAGACAGGAACAAUGUUGAAACUGUUUAUGAAAAUCAAACUGCAGCGAUUAAUCCUCUCUGGACGUGCAUCUGAAAACACUGCUGGCAAUUAUUGAAGUUAAAAACAAUCACGGUUCUGUUUGAAUAGUCCCAAUCUGUGCACAUUUAAACAUGCUCUCACAAUGUUUGGUUUCAAAAGUAAGUCAGGAAGCAGCUGCCUCGUCUCGUUUAGUUUCUGUAUUUACCAAAACAUUUUUAAAAAGUAAGAUUAAGUUUCUGUAUGCUAGCACACAGGUUUCAGGUUGGAAGUGUUUACAUAAGUGCCAUAUGGUUUAGUAUGUGUGGUUCCUGAGAAUAUAACUUCCUAUUCUGCAGUGUCUCAACUCAAAGCCCACGCUGUAACACUCCUGUACAGGCUUUGUAGCGACACUGCAUGACAUUUAACACUUACAUCACUGCUGCAACAAUCAGCUGGAAAAUAACAGCAGCGCUUUCAUCAGACAGUCACAGGAAAUGAUUUGAAUUUACCAUGAUUAGCUCAUUGUCAGUGAGUCACAAUAAGUCAUUUCUUCUCUUACAAUCAGCUUCAUUUUAACAUGUGUUUGAGUUGAAAAACAGUACGAACACUUUCAAUACAGCUUUUUACUUUUACUCCUUGCAUCCUCAAAUGAUUAUAUCUACUUUCCACUGAUUACAUUUUCAAACUAGCUGUGUUACUAUGGCUUCAACUCGUAUAAGAGAUCAGAUAAGGAACAUAGUGUUACUUUCUGGUCUGUCCUCCCACGGCAGUCCAGAGUGUUUGCACAUGAUAGAUGAUUCUGGAAGUGACUCUGCAGGGUGACAUAAAUCUCUAUUUAUGGGAGGAAACCUUUUCUUUACAACCUCUGGCUGAUGCGCCUAAAAACUACAGCAGCCAGGGACACUCAUGGAGCAAAAUCUGACCUUCAGAUGAGGAUUGAUUGUGUGAAAAUGAGCAUCCAAAAGGGAGGUGGGGGUUAUAAUCUGCCCUGUGAUAACCAACAACAACUUGUCUGAUGUCAGAGGAAGCACGAAGCUUUUAACCCUCUGAAUGAAUCAUAGUGGAGAGAUUAGCACACGUGUUCACCAGCAGACGUAGUGGAACCUUUAAUGGCACUCGUGUGUCAGUGUGUGUGCUGUCUACUUCGGUACAAUAUGUGCAUCCGGGUAGAUGCUAAUCGAUUGUGUUUGUGUGUCUCAGUGUGUGUUUAGUGUGUUAAUGGCCGGGGCUGCUCACCCAGCCAUGGCCUGCACACACUGAGUCACUCCUCGGAUUGCAGGAGGCCGGGGAGAGGCAGGUGGCAGAGCUCCAGCUGCACAACGGCAUGAACACACACACUCACAGAAAUAGGUACACAACCACAGAGAGCCCCCACACACACAUACCUGCUGUCGUUCAUCCGUAAACAACAGCAUCGUGAUAAUCGUCUGUUGUCACCUCAGAGAUAUUUAACUCGGUGUGUCUGUUUGUGCCGCAGGCUGCAGUUCCAUACAUACUGAAUGUUUUCACAGACAGAAGGCAGAUGGUUUGGCACAAACAGCUGAAAUUACAACAACACAUACACAGACAGAGGAAUAUUUUGUCCCGAGCAUGCAUUCAUGACAAAACUCUGCCAGUAAACACAUCUUGUUCCAUCACAGAAGUCCAGUUGAGCUCCGACUUUGCUGCGCUCGAAUUACUUACCUAAUACCACCUACACACUGAAGACAAAAGCCACAGACUGCUGCGUAAACAGGAAUCUAAUGAUGGAGAUAAAAUAAAGUUAGUGUGAAUUUAUGGGAGUCAACUUGAGGACUGAGUCCUGAACUCAACCCAAACACAGAUUGAGUUCUGUAUUGUUUGUUGGUGCCUCAGGGGGACUGUGCUUGCAGUGUUGUUCAGAUGUCUGUGUUAGAAUUAAGGAAGUUGUGGCCUUAAUUAUCAGCUGAGAGUUGUAGCAUCACUCUAAAAGCUCUUUUAAUGGAUGUCUACCCUUAAAAAGAGUAUUUGUCGUUCACUCUUACAGCUUGCUGCAUUUAAAAAACCGCUCUAGUGAAAUCUAACUGUCGGCUGCUGUUCAUGGUUCACCUAAAGAAAAGCAGAUAACACAAAAUGACAUAAAUGCCUUUUUAAAUAAACCUUUCACAAAAGCUGGCAGGCACUGCAUUGAAUAUCACUACAUAUGUGCAUGAAACUAAAUCAGAGUUGAUCGGUUUGUCACAAUUACUUAUCGUCUUAGAUCAUGAAGGAAAACCAAUGUUAGCAAAGCCACAGAAACACAAAAAAUCCAAAGCCAAAUCUGGAUGUUGUCAGCAACAGCCUUGUUAUUGCUUUUUUUUCUCUUCAGAAACAGGCCGCUAUUUCUAGCAAAAUUCUCUAGAACCAGAUACUAAUGCUACUUGUGCACCACAGACAAGCCAAGAAACAACUUUGCCAAAAAAGAUUAAAAACUCCUCCAGGUCCUAGGUGUGUGAAAAUAAGACAUUGUUUGCAAGACAUCCAAAAAUAUUUAUGUUGCAGGAUAAAGAUUUUGCCAAAAUACAUUGAAAUGCUCCUUAAAAGUAAAGCAAAACCUAAUGCGGCACAUGUUUAGAAACCUGGCAAACUGAAGAGGACAAAUAAAAGUUCAAUGACUUUCACAGCCUAGCCUGUUUCCCCUUUAGAAAGUAUUCUGUAGAGGGGAAAAGGUUUUUGAAUUUCAUUGAAAAUCUACUCUGGAUGCUUUCGUUCAGCCCAAACAGAGAGAACGAGGUAAUAACUCAGAGUGUUUCCUAGAAAGCUGCUCGCUCCCUUAGGCACAGGAGUGUCUCUUCAGAAACACAUAAUAAACUGUCUGCAGGUCUACAUGCUGUAAUUUCUGUGUAGGUGUCUUCCUGUCAACAGUUACAAACUACCUGACCCAACCUGACAUUUCUACAAUCUAAAACUCGGGUUAUCUUUAGAUCAUUUGCUCCAGUCUUACCCUCCUCCACAACUCCACAGUCUCUCAUUAUACUGUCACAUGAUCGUUAAAGGAACAUUCAAUCCUAAAAUAAGAAUAUUUUCAACUGUGAAAAAAAAUACUUUCUAUUAAGGAACAUCCCCACGGUUCCUGGAUUUUUUUCCUUCAAUAACUUGGAUGAUAGAGCCCC
This 6180-nucleotide long non-coding RNA is filed under the name Xyrichtys novacula (pearly razorfish). Lineage: Eukaryota; Metazoa; Chordata; Actinopteri; Labriformes; Labridae. The record is from RNAcentral.